CACGCUGUUAUCCCUAAAGUAACUUAUACUUCUAAUCCUUAAAAAAGGAUCAAUAAUCUAUUUAUAAAUAUUURAUUUUCAAAACAGUUAAUAGUUUAUUUAAGCCGCCCCAGCCUAACAACCUAUCCUUAAUUCUAUUUAAUAUAAAUUUAAAAAUUAAAGUUCAGUUGUAAAGUUUUAUAGGGUCUUAUCGUCCCUUUAAAUCAUUUAAGCCUUUUCACUUAAAAGUAAAAUUUAAAUUAUACCAGUAAGACAGCUUUCCUUUUGUUCAACCAUUCAUUCCAGCCUCCAAUUAAGAG
RNAcentral lists this ribosomal RNA (299 nucleotides) under Stylodactylus libratus. Its description in RNAcentral is "partial 16S ribosomal RNA". Lineage: Eukaryota; Metazoa; Arthropoda; Malacostraca; Decapoda; Stylodactylidae. The record is from RNAcentral.